UACGUAGGGGGCGAGCGUUGUCCGGAUUUAUUGGGCGUAAAGAGCGUGUAGGCGGCCAGGUAGGUCUGCUGUGAAAACUCGAGGCUCAACCUCGAGACGUCGGCGGAAACCAUCCGGCUAGAGUCCGGAAGAGGAGAGUGGAAUUCCUGGUGUAGCGGUGAAAUGCGCAGAUAUCAGGAAGAACACCCGUGGCGAAGGCGGCUCUCUGGGACGGUACUGACGCUGAGACGCGAAAGCGUGGGGAGCGAACAGG
Molecule: ribosomal RNA, 253 nt
Filed under: uncultured bacterium
Lineage: Bacteria
Description: partial 16S ribosomal RNA
Rfam family: Bacterial small subunit ribosomal RNA
Source: RNAcentral